This 253-nucleotide ribosomal RNA is filed under the name uncultured bacterium. RNAcentral's name for it is "partial 16S ribosomal RNA". It matches the Rfam family "Bacterial small subunit ribosomal RNA", at positions 524 to 776 of the family's 1533-position model. The record is from RNAcentral.
UACAUGGGGUGCAAACGUUGCUCGGAAUUAUUGGGCGUAAAGCGCGCGUAGGCGGUUACUUAAGUCGGAUGUGAAAGCCCUCGGCUUAACUGAGGAAGUGCACCCGAAACUGAGUAGCUAGAGUACGAAAGAGGGUCGCGGAAUUCCCGGUGUAGAGGUGAAAUUCGUAGAUAUCGGGAGGAACACCGGUGGCGAAGGCGGCGACCUGGGACAAUACUGACGCUGAGGUGCGAAAGCGUGGGGAGCAAACAGG